AAUAUAAUUUAGUGGGUAGGAUCUAAAUGCCAUCCUUUGGCUCGCGGUCUCCUCUCAAAGUUUGCGGAUUGUCCAUGUUGGAGUUUGUAUAUUAAAUGUAAUGGCAGGCAACACUUGACACUUGAUUAGAUUUCGAAUAUUGGAAUUAUUUUAAAUGUUUUAAAAAACAGAUCAUUGUAUUCUCGUAAGAAAAUGUCAGUGACUUCUCAUCUAGACACGGCAAGACAAACAUGUAAUAGUUAUAUAAAAAAUAUAAAGAUAAUAAUUGUAUAAUGGUGUAAAAGUGUUCAAGCAAUCUGCAAUAUAAUUAUAAUGAAGCAGUUGUGUUUUUAAAUAGCCCCUCAUCACCUAAAGACCCAAUCCCCUCAAAUGUAACCAUCCAACAGGUUAUGGGCCCAGACCAGAAUUUAUAAGGUAAUAUUUAUUAUAGUUUGCUGAUUAAAACAUCACCUACGCCUACAACUUCACCAUGGAAACGAAACUGUUUGUAAAAAUUUUUCUUAGCAACCAAUAUGAAAUGAAUUUAAUGAAAAUAAAACCAUUAAAAAAAACAGAAAAUGUUAUAAUAUUUGGCUGAAAUACCAAACAGAAUUAUAAGAGUAUGAGAUAAGGUAAUAGAAGGGAGAACAACAAAUAAAAAAUAAUCGUGAAGACGAAGUCGACAAAGUUCGAGAAGGUGCUAGAGGAAGAUAUGGAGUUAAUGAAGUUCGAGAAGGUGAUAGAGGAAGAAAUGGAGUUAAUGGAGUUCGAGAAGGUGAUUUUAGAGGAAAUAGUAGUAAUGGAGGUAAUGAAGUUCGAGAAGGUGAAAUAGGAAGAAAUGGAGAGUUAGUGGAGUUCGAGAAGGUGAUAUUAGAGGAAAUAAUACUAAUGGAGUGUAAUAAAGUAGAAAUGGCGUAUAGUUCGAGAAGAUGUUGUUGAAAGGCGAAAUAAUAGAGAAUGAAAUGAAAAUGGAACAAAUGAUGGCAGAUUAACAAAUGAAAAUCUGGUCAUGGAAAACUUUGAGACUUUAAGUGACUUUGAGACAUUUUUAAAAAAAAAGUGAACUUGUGUUUUGGGAGAAAUGGGUUAGUUUAUAAGAUUGAUAGGGAAAUUUAAAUGCUAUAUACAACAGUUUAUAUAACUAAAAAGAGACAAGGAUAAUUCAAAAAUUAAGGGGGUGCUCUCUUUCCACCGACAUAAACAAUUAAGGGGGUGAUUAAAAAAAAAAAAAAAAAAUAUAAUUGUUUAUUAAUAAUACUAUAAAUAAAAUAGAUAGUCUAGCCGUGGAAAAAGUACACAUUAUUUGAUACAAACAUAUUUACAGUCGUUUUUUAAUAUCCUUUUGAGUCUCUUUUAUAGUUUUGUUUAUUGUUGGUUUUGUAUAAUAGAUGUUAGGAAUAUUACUUUAUUAUUUUGGUUUUAGUUUUUAUAUUAAAUGAUUGAAUGCUUAAUAAGUAAAAGAAAGUGAGAAAAUUUAAUAAGUGAAAGAUAUUAAGAUAAUGAAAGGUUGUUAUGGAAAUGAAAAGUUAUAUUUGAGUUCGAGUGUUGAAUAAAGCUAUCUGAGGUUAUUUGUUAUGUUAUGUUGUCGUUUGUGAGUGGAGAUAAAGGAGUUGAAAGGUUAAAAGAGUCGAGUAGGAGUUAAAGGUAAAAGAGUCGAGUAGGAGUUAAAGGUUAGAGUCGAGAAGGAGUUAAAGGUUAGAGUCGAGAAGGAGUUAAAGGUUAGAGUCGAGAAGGAGUUAAAGGUUAGAGUCGAGAAGGAGUUAAAGGUUAGAGUCGAGAAGGAGUUAAAGGUUAGAGUCGAGAAGGAGUUAAAGGUUAGAGUCGAGAAGGAGUUAAAGGUUAGAGUCGAGAAGGAGUUAAAGGUUAGAGUCGAGAAGGCGUUAAAGGUUAGAGUCGAGAAGGCGUUAAAGGUUAGAGUCGAGAAGGCGUUUAAGGUUAGAGUCGAGAAGGCGUUUAAGGUUAGAGUCGAGAAGGCGUUUAAGGUUAUUAAAGAGGUUGAGAAGGCGUUUAAGGUUAUUAAAGAGGUUGAGAAGGCGUUUAAGGUUAUUAAAGAGGUUGAGAAGGCGUUUAAGGUUAUUUAAGAGGUUGAGAAGGCGUUUAAGGUUAUUUAAGAGGUUGAGAAGGCGUUAAAAGUUUUAAAUAAACUUGAAGAGUUUAUGUAGGGAGUCAAGAAGGAGUUAAAGACUAUUAUAGUCAAUGUUUUAUAUAAUGAGUCAAGAGGGAAGUUAAGGUUGAAUGGUUGUGUGGUUGAAUGAGAGUACAUGUAUGAUCGAAUUGGAGUUGGAGUAAGAAAGGAUUAAAAGUAGCGACAUUAAAGAUGGUAUUAAGUUUGAAAGGUUGAAUGAAUAGUUGUUGGUUGAAUUGAGGGAUUAAGUGGAAGUAACGGAAUGUAAGUGGUUGUGAGGUUUUAAGGUAUGUAUGGAAAGUAGUUAAUUUAUGGUCAGGUUAACGUUAUUCUUUUUGGUAUUAAAUUAUAGACGGAGAAAAAUGUGUGCAAGUGUUGAGGGGGUGUGUUGGAGUUUGUAUAUUAAAUGUAAUGGCAGGCAACACUUGACACUUGAUUAGAUUUCGAAUAUUGGAAUUAUUUUAAAUGUUUUAAAAAACAGAUCAUUGUAUUCUCGUAAGAAAAUGUCAGUGACUUCUCAUCUAGACACGGCAAGACAAACAUGUAAUAGUUAUAUAAAAAAUAUAAAGAUAAUAAUUGUAUAAUGGUGUAAAAGUGUUCAAGCAAUCUGCAAUAUAAUUAUAAUGAAGCA
Long non-coding RNA from Bombyx mori (domestic silkworm), 2735 nucleotides. RefSeq lists it as uncharacterized. NCBI's taxonomy places the organism in Eukaryota, Metazoa, Arthropoda, Insecta, Lepidoptera, Bombycidae. The record is from RefSeq and is a predicted model, not a curated record. The transcript is spliced from 2 exons.